Poecilia latipinna (sailfin molly) is the source of this 1949-nucleotide long non-coding RNA. RefSeq lists it as uncharacterized. The transcript is spliced from 2 exons. The record is from RefSeq and is a predicted model, not a curated record. NCBI's taxonomy places the organism in Eukaryota, Metazoa, Chordata, Actinopteri, Cyprinodontiformes, Poeciliidae.
ACCUCGAAUAUCGAAUAUCCAACUUGAAACUAACUUCACUGCGGUGCCACGUAAAGAAAGACGACAGAAACAAGAGGAUCCGAUGGAAGCAGCAAAGGCCGUCUUCCUUCGCCCGCCAAGGUCUCGCCGCACCGAUCCACGUCACCUUUUUCUCCCAGCUCACCAUCCAUUCUCCCUCCAUUUCUCCACCGCCGCUCUCGCAUCGUCUUCACACCGUUGCCACGCGAUGAGUCAGCCACGUCAACAGCUUCUCUCUUCCGCAUGCCGCCAUGGUCAGCACCUUUCCGGAUUUCCCUCUCUACGCCCGUCUCGGGCUGUCGGGGUAAGACGUAGCAUUCACAUGUCUCAUUCGCAUUAUUACGAACCGCAUUUCAAUUAGCUUAUUCUCUCCUGAACUCGUAGGCCACUCAGGCUGCGCCCAUUAUGCUCGAGGGCUUUUAACUGCAUGAUGAAGAAUCGAUUUGUCGUGUUUGGGGAGGCGCUUAUAAACGCCAUACGAGCUCUAAGAUUCUCUCACCGGGUUUUACUCCCGUGCGACAGCUAAAGAGACCUGCUGCGGCUGUCUCAGCUCCGUGUGUGUUCGAAUUAUGGCAGCAACCAGCAAUUCGCAGAGCUUCGCACAGUUUCCUCAAUUAACCGACUGAGUUGAGCAAAGCGUUGGAGGCAGGCUGUAAAUGCCCGUUCCAUGUUUUAUAUGCUGAUUCUAAGUUGUUACCCAUAGUACCCAGUAGGGGCGCUGUAGUUUGGUUCAUGUUGAGUUAGUGCCUUCAUUUAAAACUGUAAAAUGAGAGGAAGUGUUGCUAGCCUCCUGUCAGUCAGCGCUUUGGGUUGAAAUAUAGAGGAAGAGGAGGAUAUUCUUCACCUUAAUGACUCUGGACUGUAGCGCACAUUCUUAAGAACAGGCUAAAGGCAGCACCGCACGGACUUAACCGCCAUAAACUUUGCAGCCCUUGGACAGCGGAGCGAGUUUUCACGGUGUAUUCGAAGCACGGUAUGUUCAGUGCACUUCAACAACUUGGUUUGGAAAGAAGUAAAUACGAAGUUACUGCACCCGUCGAAGCUCUCCGUGUUUUCUUGGGUCUGAGGGACUGCUACACAGGCAAUGUUAAAUAAUAAUGAAAGUUUAUACAAAUAUAGCACCUUCAGCUCGUCGACUAGUGGCCUGUAGCCCGCUGAUAUGUUCUAAAGAGUGUAGGACCCUCGUUAUUGAACGUUUUGGAAAUGUCGUCAUAUGAGUAGUUUUACUGCAGUGUACCUUCUGCCCCCAUAAGCCGAUGCCCUCAUGUUAAACUCGUCUGGAGUCGGGGGGCAGCCUAGAGGGAUUACUCAUUCAUAUAUCAGCAGUCGUAUGCGCACUCAGCUACUGAGAGCCGCGCAGCCCAUUGUCUCGGGUGUCUCGGUUACCGCAUUUUUAUUUCAGCUCCAUUAUCAGCUAACUUGUCAACCAGAAGACUAUGUUGUCAUAUUACCAAUUGACUCUGCGCACGAGAACGUAUUACUCAUCCAGUAAUUAGGAGUUUUGCCUCAGUUGCGAGGCGCCACACGCUGUUCAGUUGUUUGCCACGGAUCGUGAAGUUGACUUAAAAAUUCCUCCAUGACAAAUCUCGGUACAAUCGUUCCAGACCUUUAUCAAUUAAACAAGCCAUGAAAUUCUCGCUUACAUCAUCCAUUUCAGCAGCUCAAGUCCUCAGCAUUUUCUAACUCGUUUCACUGCCAUAACCCGUUCCGAGAGUAAUUUCUGUAAGUGAUCCCAGAUCAUCGCUCGCUAUAAGUUGUUGUGUUUUAACUAUAAGCCAAACCUCCACCAUCUGUCUCAUGUCUUCUAUCGCCAUCAUUUAAUUUAGCAUACCUGCUUGUUGCGAUCUGGUCAUUUUAACACUAUUGCAGAUGAGCUGUCUCCCUGCCUGUGCUGUGUCCAGUCCUGCUAUUAGACAAGUCACCCAUUUCAA